This 260-nucleotide unclassified non-coding RNA is filed under the name Hevea brasiliensis (rubber tree). Lineage: Eukaryota; Viridiplantae; Streptophyta; Magnoliopsida; Malpighiales; Euphorbiaceae. The record is from RNAcentral.
AGAGAGAGGGAGAGAGAAAGAGAGGAACUCUAGGCCUUGAAUCUUUGGGCUAUUGGCUUAUAGCUAGUUGUAAAUGUGUGAUGCAUAAUGGGUUUUUCCUUCGCCCUGUGGAGCCAUGCAAUGGUAGUCAAGACCGUUCAUGCGCGUACUUGGUCAUUUAGGUCUCGUUUCUUUAUGUAGCUGCUGCCUUUUUAUGUGUGUGUGUAUUUUCUUUUUUUAAUUUUUUAAUAACCUGUCUAUCUUGCUGCCUUAAGUUGCUU